Molecule: long non-coding RNA, 911 nt
Organism: Mesocricetus auratus (golden hamster)
Lineage: Eukaryota; Metazoa; Chordata; Mammalia; Rodentia; Cricetidae
Exons: 2
Source: RefSeq, a predicted model, not a curated record
UCUGUCAGUCUGUCUGUCUGUCUGUCUGGUGUUGGUGGGUCGUCAGUCCGUCCGUUUGCAAUAUGUAUGUCUUCAUUGUUUUUGUUUCUCUCUCUCUAGCCCUGGAAACAUCUUUCUGAGAAGAACGCGCUGGCCUCCAACUCACUCCUGCUGUGCACACACAGAAAUCACUGAGAUCCACCUGCCUGUCUGUCUGUGACAUGCAAAAGAAGAAGAAGAAGAAACUUCAUCACCCCAACAUAAAAAGGAAGACUCCUGCUUCACUCACUCAGGUGAUACAGGUCCUGAGCGGCUGUGUGGAGACUGCCAUGAUCUGAGGAUCCAUUCUCCCAGGAGCAUUUCAUUGAGAAAAUAUAGUUGCACCUAGGAUUAAACGGGAGACGAGGGGAAUACGAACUCUGGGUGGGUGGGUCUUAUGACAGGCACCAGCCAUCAAUAGGCUGUUGUUUGUUUUGAUUUUUGAAAAAAAAUUUUUUUGAGACUCGAUUUUGACCAAGAUGGCCCCUCUGGCUCACUGAUAAAGUGAGCUGAGCACUGGGAUUAAAGGCGUGCACCAACACUUCCAGGCCAGACCAGUCAUAUGUUAAUGUGAAGGCCAUUGAGUUCCUUCCAAGAGAAUGAGUGGAGGAGGCCCUCCCUUACACAAAAUGCCUGACCUGUCUGGGGGAAGCAGGUGCUUAAUGACACUGCCAUCUCUGCCCUACUAGCUCCCCUACUAGUAUUCCUGUUCUUGGUGUUCCUUCCUUAGGAGGGCACAGUGGAAUUCCUGUUCCCCUGGUUUCGGGGAUUUUAUUUUUCCCAUAAAGAAUCAUUUUGUUUAGAGAGCCCUCAUUGGCUGUAAACAAGUGAAUAAAUGGAUGGACCGAUAAAUGAAUGAAUGGAUGAAUAAAUAAAUAAAUAAAUAAAUAAAU